UAGGCUGACUCCAAAGUACCCGAUGGACAGGCAGCCCAUGAGAAAACAUUAACAGGUCUCCUCACAGCGUUGGCAGGUGCCAAUCUGAUUUAUGGCCUGG
This is a regulatory RNA element of 100 nucleotides. It matches the Rfam family "Pyrrolysine insertion sequence mttB". The record is from Rfam.